Caretta caretta (loggerhead turtle) is the source of this 284-nucleotide non-coding RNA. The record is from RefSeq and is a predicted model, not a curated record. NCBI's taxonomy places the organism in Eukaryota, Metazoa, Chordata, Testudines, Cheloniidae.
GGGCGCCGCACGACCCGGCGCCAUUGUCCCGGGCGGGUGAGGUCACAGAGGGCCCCGCGUUCUGUGCCGCGCCGUGUCCUGGACACCGAGCCCCGCCGCGGGGCAGGGAGGUCGGAGGCGCCGCGAUGCACAUGUUCCAGUCCUUUCCAAAAAUAAAAUUAAAUCAAUGAUUAAGUUACUCAAUCAUCGGAUCCAAGUUCUGCACCAGAAGCAUAUGAUGCAUGAACAUAAACUUUCAGAAAAACAAGAUGAAGUGUUAAGCACACCUGUGAAUAUGACAGACA